GAUGACGAUUGUCUUUGUGCAUUUUUGUGCACAAAGACACCUGUGCAUGAAGAUUUAAGUGGAAAAGUCGAUGCACAGAGACAGUCCCACUCUCUCGGCAUUGGAAGCCUGGGUCCAUUGGCACGAAAAGUCGUUACACCUGGAGACUUCCUCAGCUGCAUUGGAUGGCCGUGUUGUCUUUUGUGCUCCAACACGCCCUAAGCACUCCACAGUGCCUUGCUGCAUCGCCAUCUCAGCCGUUGAACCUUCUUGUUGGUUUCUUCCACCUGUUCCACCGAAACAGUCUUCACAUGCUGGGAGAUAUAGCUUCCUAGAUAGAGAAGAGGUUUCCUGGACAAUUUCAAGUUACUGAAGAGUUUGGGAGCUAAAAUGGAAUUCUUAGACAGUUCCAGCUUCUUAGAGAGAAGAUUUGAUGAACCUUCUCAUCAGCAUCAGUCUCUUGGGAAGAUCAUGCAUGUGACCCUAAACUGGAGGAUUAGCAAGAGACAGAGCUCUAAUAUGACCCAACAAAUGACCUGGACUUGCCCUCCACUAUUCUCACUAUUAUUUAGCUCAUGAAGGGAGGGCCACUGGGAAGGCAGCCACCUGUCUCUCUUGGAGAUGCAAGUUAAUUUCUUUUCCUAAGGGAGUCCAAACCUCAGGGUGUACUGAAAAUCUGAUAGAUAGUAUAGUAUUCUGGGAACCACUUGGAAUUCCUGGAGACAGAGUAAAAAUAUAUUAAUGAUUUAUGUGCUAAUGUGAAGUCUUUAUGUCUUUUUUGUGAAAUUAAAUAAAAGUGAUCCUGUACCAAAUAUGCCUUAUUGC
This 804-nucleotide long non-coding RNA is filed under the name Monodelphis domestica (gray short-tailed opossum). RNAcentral describes it as "lncRNA (ENSMODG00000030760.2)". The record is from RNAcentral. Lineage: Eukaryota; Metazoa; Chordata; Mammalia; Didelphimorphia; Didelphidae.